RNAcentral lists this ribosomal RNA (776 nucleotides) under uncultured Neocallimastigales. RNAcentral's name for it is "partial large subunit ribosomal RNA". It matches the Rfam family "Eukaryotic large subunit ribosomal RNA", at positions 24 to 635 of the family's 3401-position model. Lineage: Eukaryota; Fungi; Neocallimastigomycota; Neocallimastigomycetes; Neocallimastigales. The record is from RNAcentral.
UAUCUCUGUAGAGUCUGCAUAUCAAUAAGCGGAGGAAAAGAAACUAACAAGGAUUCCCCUAGUAACGGCGAGUGAAGCGGGAAGAGCUCAAAUUUGAAAUCUUCAAGGUUCUACCUUGACGAAUUGUAGUUUAAAGAAGUGUUUUCUGUUAGAUGAGUAGCAAAAGUUCCUUGGAAUGGGACAUCAUAGAGGGUGAGAAUCCCGUAUUUGGUUAUUCAUUCUAGCUUUGUGAUACACUUUCAAAGAGUCGGACUGUUUGGGAAUGCAGUCCAAAAUGGGUGGUAAAUUUCAUCUAAAGCUAAAUAUUGGCGAGAGACCGAUAGCGAACAAGUACCGUGAGGGAAAGAUGAAAAGAACUUUGAAAAGAGAGUUAAACAGUACGUGAAAUUGUCAAAAGGGAAGCGUUUGACACCAGUGUUGUUUUCUCGAAAAUCAAUUAAAAAAGGCAGGAUUUUGUGUUGUAUUGACUUUAUCAGCUUUCUGCACUCUUUUCUUGUCUUUUUUUAAUGCACUUUUCGUUUAACAAGUCAACAUCAAUUUCUUUUGUUGUAAAAGGGUCAUUGGAAGGUGGCUUUCUUUUCGGAGAAAGUGUUUAUAGCCUUUGACUUCUGCAAUCGGAGAGACUGAGGUCUGCAGCGUAGAUCCUUCUGGAUUAGAUUCAUUUGUGCUAAGUUACAACCGUUUAUAGACAACUUGUUGACUAUAUUCGAUCCUGUUAGCUUACUCGCUUAUGUAAUUUUACCUACGCUUAGGAUGUUGAAGAUGUAGCACAUCAU